AGAGUUUGAUCCUGGCUCAGGAUCAACGCUGGCGGCGUGCGUUAAGCAUGCAAGUCGCACGGAUCCCCGCAAGGGGGUGAGUGGCAGACGGCUGAGGAGAACGGAAGGAACCUACCCACGAGAGGGGGAUAACUCCGCGAAAGCGGGGCUAAGACCGCGUACGCUCACCAUCGGAGGGGGUGGUGAGGAAAACCGACAGG
This 200-nucleotide ribosomal RNA is filed under the name uncultured bacterium. RNAcentral's name for it is "partial 16S ribosomal RNA". It matches the Rfam family "Bacterial small subunit ribosomal RNA", at positions 8 to 214 of the family's 1533-position model. The record is from RNAcentral.